Molecule: long non-coding RNA, 1144 nt
Organism: Saccostrea echinata
Lineage: Eukaryota; Metazoa; Mollusca; Bivalvia; Ostreida; Ostreidae
Exons: 4
Source: RefSeq, a predicted model, not a curated record
UUAAAUGCAACAUAUCCGCUGUAUAGCGAAAAAUUGUGAGGUCCUAUGCAUGGGAUAUAUGUAAUUAUGAUAAGAGGCACCCGGAAAGAAUACCCAAGCAUUUAUGGAUCAUGAAAUACUGACUGUAUACAGCAAAAUUCAGUUCCCUCAGAUGGGUCACAGUCAUCAAGGAAGGCAGACUUCUUUGGGAUUAUGGAGACGAGUUGAUCAAUGAUGGAGCACACGAGGAAACAGGAAGAAUCUUCACCAGUGUGUCAUAACAGAAUGUCCGAAUGAAUUGUCAACAGGCUUCAUAACUACAACAAAAACAGAGAAAACCUACAGAACAGACAAGUAAUUGUCUACAACUCCACAUAACAGCAGGAGAAAAACAAGGCCCACUUGUCAUGAAGAAAACAGUACGAAAAAACACACGUCAGUGAUGUGUGUAUUAUUUUUACCAACGUGAAACAUUAUUGAAAAUUUAUUAGAUUUUUUGACAUCAAAACAAUUCCACUGUUUGUAGAAAAAAAGGGGCAAUAUAAAUGACAAAUGAAUUGUCUCAGUCACUAUUGGUAUUUUUUGCGUAAAUAGUCCAUAAUUGUAUAUCAACACUGAUGAGGCUGAGACACAAUUUUGGAUUAAAGGGUGUAGCAUCAAAGUUUGGUGUGUCAGUGAUUGACUGUGUGCAUGUGUUGACCUUAUGCAUGUUAUGUUAGGUUUAAAGAUGAGUGAUUGACUUUCAUUCACUUCACUGAUUUCAGGAGAAGCAGACUUUUCACUUAUCUAAUGAACUCCAAUAGCAUAAUACAUGUUUGUUUAUGUAAUCUUAUGGUAUCCACAAUGUGCUGAAUUGCAUAAUUAAGUGUAUAGUUCAUAAAGGCGAUAAAUAACACAGAUAACAUUAUGAAAUGUGAAGCACUGUCAUAGAUGAAAUUCCCAAAAAUAUAUCUCAUACUGAUAUAAGUAAAUGAUUUAUACAGUGGUGUGAUGAUAGAAUGAGAAACGACUGAUACGAAUUAAAUAUUCAAACAUCUAACCCUAUAAAUGUAUAUCACUGCCAAGGGAAAUUUGAUAGAAGAAAAAUAAUACUUUUUCAAUUUAACAUAAACAAUUUUAUUAUUACUUUUAUAUGAAAUGUUCAAUAUCAUUAAACUUUUCUGUA